UCGGGUAUGGUGUAGCGGUAACAUCGCUGACUCUCAUAGUGAGGACUCAGCAGCCCGGGGUUCGACUCCCCGUAUCCGAG
This is a non-coding RNA of Lasiosphaeris hirsuta, 80 nucleotides long. The record is from the annotation of a GenBank genome assembly. Lineage: Eukaryota; Fungi; Ascomycota; Sordariomycetes; Sordariales; Lasiosphaeriaceae.